UACGAAGGACCCGAGCGUUAUCCGGAUUUAUUGGGUUUAAAGGGUGCGUAGGCGGACAUGCAAGUCAGUGGUGAAAUCUCUCUGCUCAACAGAGAAACUGCCAUUGAAACUAUGUGUCUUGAGUACAUUUGAGGCGGGCGGAAUGUGUCAUGUAGAGGUGAAAUUCUUAGAUAUGACACAGAACACCAAUUGCGAAGGCAGCUCGCUAAACUGUAACUGACGCUGAGGCACGAAAGCGUGGGGAUCAAACAGGAUUAGAUACCCUGGUAGUCCACGCCCUAAACGAUGAUUACUCGAAGUGUGCGAUACACAGCACGCCUCUGAGCGAAAGCAUUAAGUAAUCCACCUGGGAAGUACGACCGCAAGGUUGAA
This 372-nucleotide ribosomal RNA is filed under the name uncultured bacterium. RNAcentral's name for it is "bacterial SSU rRNA". It matches the Rfam family "Bacterial small subunit ribosomal RNA", at positions 524 to 898 of the family's 1533-position model. The record is from RNAcentral.